CAGUCGCCGCGGGAACACGGAGGGUGCAAGCGUUAAUCGGAAUUACUGGGCGUAAAGCGUGCGUAGGCGGUUCGUUAAGUCUGUUGUGAAAGCCCCGGGCUCAACCUGGGAAUGGCAAUGGAUACUGGCGAGCUAGAGUGUGUCAGAGGAUGGUGGAAUUCCCGGUGUAGCGGUGAAAUGCGUAGAGAUCGGGAGGAACAUCAGUGGUGAAGGCGGCCAUCUGGGACAACACUGACGCUGAGGCACGAAAGCGUGGGGAGCAAACAGGAUUAGAUACCCCCGUAGUCCCUGUCUCUUAUAC
Molecule: ribosomal RNA, 301 nt
Filed under: uncultured bacterium
Lineage: Bacteria
Description: partial 16S ribosomal RNA
Rfam family: Bacterial small subunit ribosomal RNA
Source: RNAcentral